UACGAAGGACCCGAGCGUUAUCCGGAUUAUUGGGUUUAAAGGGUGCGUAGGCGGGUUAUUAAGUCAGUGGUGAAAAGCCUACAGCUUAACUGUAGAAUUGCCAUUGAUACUGAUAAUCUUGAGUAUGAUUGAGGUGGGCGGAAUGUGUCAUGUAGCGGUGAAAUGCUUAGAUAUGACACAGAACACCGAUUGCGAAGGCAGCUCACUAAGCCAUAACUGACGCUGAUGCACGAAAGCGUGGGGAGCAAACAGG
This 253-nucleotide ribosomal RNA is filed under the name uncultured bacterium. RNAcentral's name for it is "partial 16S ribosomal RNA". It matches the Rfam family "Bacterial small subunit ribosomal RNA", at positions 524 to 776 of the family's 1533-position model. The record is from RNAcentral.